CAAUUACAAGGUAAUAGGCCAGUUUUUAAAAGCCCUCCAGAAGGGAGGCUGUGGGCCCAAGGGGAGGCCACUUUGUAACCCGUUCCCUUCCUGCUGCUGCUGCUACCGCUGCUCCAGGACCCGGGGACCCUCCCUCCGCCCACUUCAGGGAAGCCCAGAAAGGCAAGGCUGGAAGUCACAGAGGAAGCGGGGCCAAGGCAGAACCUUACGCGGACGCUGUACCCAUCUCAGCAGCCAGUAGACAAAAGCACGUUAUCGACCCAAGAAAUACCACUUCCAGCCAGCAGCGUGAGAAAGCAUUGCUGAUUUUUUCACCCAGGAAAGCGAGAGUAACGAAUACGUCGUCUGCAGGAGGGCGGAGAGAAGGGAAGACAGGAAUACACGGGAAGAGGAAAACCCUUUUCCAGGCACAGAGCGGGUCCUCAACGCAAACUGUACCGAUGUUCCCAAGGACCUCACGGUGAGGGGGACACUCUGGGGCACUUUGCACCUGACACAUACUAACGUAUUAGGUGGCAUGAUAAUUACUGAUCGCACGAUCCGCGGUCAAAUCCGAACCCCAAGGUCAUCUCCUAGCCACUGACCACGACACCAGAGAACCGCCGCCUUCUUUGAAAGCGCCAAGAGAUCUUAAAGCCCACCCAGCCAAAAUGCUUCGUUUUGUAAAAAAGCGCAGCUGCUGUGGGAGACGGAAUGGUGCGUCCCCAAAAAAGGAAAACAGAGAAUUCCCGGUAACAUCUGAUCCACGGCCGGGCAUAUACUCAGGAGAACCGGAAGCAGGUUCUCGAGCAGAAUUUUGUUACCCCCACGUUCACGGAAGCAUCUCACCACAGCUACACGGCCGAAGCCCGCCGAGCAUCCACGGACAAAUGAACAGAUAAGCCAAGUGUGGACGAUCCCCCACAAGGGAACAGAAUUUAGCCUUAAAAAGGAAGGGCAUUCUGACAGCACGAGGACAGGAUGCCCGAUGAGAGAAGCCAGUCGCAAAAAGACAACGAGCGACGGCUCUGUAACUAGGAGGCUUCUAGAGUCAUCGAAUUCGUGGGCGGCACAUGCAGUGGUGAGCACGAUGGUGGACGCAGGGGCCGCGGGAUGGGAAGGGGCGUUAGUGUUUCAUGGGGACAGAGUUUCAGUUGGGGAAUUCGAGACAGUUCGGCAGGUGGAUGGUGGUGAGUGCGAAUGGGCUCGGUGCCACUGAACUGAGCACCUAAAAGUAGUAAAAACAAUAAAUUGCAUGUUGGGUAUGUUUUAGAAGCACCUGGGUGGCUCAGUUGGUUAAGUGUCCGGCUCUGGAUUUUUGGCUCAGGUCAUGAUCUCGGGGUCCUGGGAUCGAGCCCCGCUGCGGGCUCCUUUCUGGGUGGGGCGUCUGCUUGGGGUUCUCGCUCUCCCUCUCCCUCAGCCGCUCCCCUGUGUGUGUGCACUCUCAAAUAAUAAAAUAAAUAUUUUAAAAAAUG
Mustela lutreola (European mink) is the source of this 1454-nucleotide long non-coding RNA. RefSeq lists it as uncharacterized. The record is from RefSeq and is a predicted model, not a curated record. NCBI's taxonomy places the organism in Eukaryota, Metazoa, Chordata, Mammalia, Carnivora, Mustelidae. The transcript is spliced from 2 exons.